CGGGGUGUAGCGCAGUUGGCUAGCGCACGCGCUUUGGGAGCGUGAGGUCGCAGGUUCGAGCCCUGUCACCCCGACCA
RNAcentral lists this transfer RNA (77 nucleotides) under Candidatus Saccharimonadota bacterium. RNAcentral's name for it is "tRNA-Pro". It matches the Rfam family "tRNA". Rfam says of the family: Transfer RNA (tRNA) molecules are approximately 80 nucleotides in length. Their secondary structure includes four short double-helical elements and three loops (D, anti-codon, and T loops). Lineage: Bacteria; Candidatus Saccharimonadota. The record is from RNAcentral.